The sequence is a ribosomal RNA, 501 nucleotides long. It matches the Rfam family "Bacterial small subunit ribosomal RNA", at positions 33 to 524 of the family's 1533-position model.
ACCUUUGCGGGCAGCCUACACAUGCAAGUCGAGCGGCAGCGGGGAGUAGCUUGCUACUUUGCCGGCGAGCGGCGGACGGGUGAGUAAUGCUUGGGAACUUGCCUUUAGGAGGGGGAUAACCACGGGAAACUGUGGCUAAUACCGCAUAAUGUCUACGGACCAAAGCGGGGGCUCUUCGGACCUCGCACCUAAAGAUAGGCCCAAGUGAGAUUAGCUAGUUGGUGGGGUAAAGGCCCACCAAGGCGACGAUCUCUAGCUGUUCUGAGAGGAUGAUCAGCCACACUGGGACUGAGACACGGCCCAGACUCCUACGGGAGGCAGCAGUGGGGAAUAUUGCACAAUGGGGGAAACCCUGAUGCAGCCAUGCCGCGUGUGUGAAGAAGGCCUUCGGGUUGUAAAGCACUUUCAGUGGUGAGGAAGGCUUGUAGGUUAAUAGCCUGCAAGAUUGACGUUAGCCACAGAAGAAGCACCGGCUAACUCCGUGCCAGCAGCCGCGGUAAU